Molecule: long non-coding RNA, 283 nt
Filed under: Sorghum bicolor (sorghum)
Lineage: Eukaryota; Viridiplantae; Streptophyta; Magnoliopsida; Poales; Poaceae
Description: long non-coding RNA (SBIC_LNC003815)
Source: RNAcentral
GAUCAAACAGAGCUGAAAUUAAUCAUGAAGCUAAAUAACAUUAACACAAGCUCACACAUUAAAUUUCAUGAUUUUUGGAUAUACCCAUAAUUUACUAAAAAUCAUGGAAGAUUUAUUUAUAAUUAAACAGGGGCAAUUUUCAUAUAUAUACAAACUGCCAGAAAAUGGAAUCUAAAAUUUUUCAUGUGUUCUACUCAUUUUAAGAAAGCCAUACAAAAAUUCUCAUAAUUUUUGGAUUAGCACAAAAUUUACUACACAAUAUCAAACAUAACUCAAAAACUGC